RNAcentral lists this ribosomal RNA (495 nucleotides) under uncultured bacterium. RNAcentral's name for it is "partial 16S ribosomal RNA". It matches the Rfam family "Bacterial small subunit ribosomal RNA", at positions 30 to 507 of the family's 1533-position model. The record is from RNAcentral.
UGAACGCUGGCGGCGUGCCUAAUACAUGCAAGUCGAGCGAACAGACGAGGAGCUUGCUCCUCUGACGUUAGCGGCGGACGGGUGAGUAACACGUGGAUAACCUACCUAUAAGACUGGGAUAACUUCGGGAAACCGGAGCUAAUACCGGAUAAUAUAUUGAACCGCAUGGUUCAAUAGUGAAAGACGGUUUUGCUGUCACUUAUAGAUGGAUCCGCGCCGCAUUAGCUAGUUGGUAAGGUAACGGCUUACCAAGGCAACGAUGCGUAGCCGACCCGAGAGGGUGAUCGGCCACACUGGAACUGAGACACGGUCCAGACUCCUACGGGAGGCAGCAGUAGGGAAUCUUCCGCAAUGGGCGAAAGCCUGACGGAGCAACGCCGCGUGAGUGAUGAAGGUCUUCGGAUCGUAAAACUCUGUUAUUAGGGAAGAACAAAUGUGUAAGUAACUAUGCACGUCUUGACGGUACCUAAUCAGAAAGCCACGGCUAACUACGUG